GGGGUUGUGGCUCAGCGGUAGAGUGCUCGCCUAGCAUGUGUGAGGCCCUGGGUUCAAUCCUCAGCACCA
This 69-nucleotide transfer RNA is filed under the name Marmota monax (woodchuck). It matches the Rfam family "tRNA". Rfam says of the family: Transfer RNA (tRNA) molecules are approximately 80 nucleotides in length. Their secondary structure includes four short double-helical elements and three loops (D, anti-codon, and T loops). RNAcentral also lists the same sequence under 2 other names. The record is from Rfam by way of RNAcentral. Lineage: Eukaryota; Metazoa; Chordata; Mammalia; Rodentia; Sciuridae.